This 609-nucleotide long non-coding RNA is filed under the name Homo sapiens (human). Its description in RNAcentral is "non-protein coding lnc-PPIAL4A-2:13". The record is from RNAcentral. Lineage: Eukaryota; Metazoa; Chordata; Mammalia; Primates; Hominidae.
CUGCUGCUUCGCCACGAAAGAGUUCCCGUGCCGUGGGAGUAAGUCUGGGACCUCUGGUCGGACCGGAGAGUCGCAGCUGUGUGUUAGGGCUAGGAUGGCUCCUGGAUGCGCGUGACGCAAGUGACCUUGCGUGUAAAGGGAUACAUGAUCCCUUAAUUCAGGCUCAGGCUGAAGAACUGACCCACUUACAACAGAAGAUACAGGAAGGGAGAGGUGUCUGCUACCUUUUCACCCAGCAUGUGAAGAACACAGUCAAGUCUUUUGAGGGCCUUCUCAGGAACACUGACAUUGCCUACUACCAGAGACAGAGAUUCUGUGAGCAAAUGGUACAAGGAAGCCAGCUGACAGAGAUCCUUGUCAGAAAACUUGCCACAGAGAGACGGGGUUUCACCACAUUGGCCAGGCCGAUCUCAAACUCCUGACCUCAUGUGACCCACAUUGGCCUGGCAAAGUGCUGGGAUUACAAGCAUGAGCCACCACACUGGCCUAGCUUCUUUAAUACAAGAAUCAACCCCAAUGCUCACUAACAAACUGAGAAGAAAAAAAAGAAUUACCCCCAACAACAUCUGAGGAAGCACAACAGGGACAGACUUGAAGAAAAUCACAAUG